AGUGAACGCUGGCGGUAGGCCUAACACAUGCAAGUCGAACGGCAGCACAGUAAGAGCUUGCUCUUACGGUUGGCGAGUGGCGGACGGGUGAGGAAUACAUCGGAAUCUACUUUUUCGUGGGGGAUAACGUAGGGAAACUUACGCUAAUACCGCAUACGACCUACGGGUGAAAGCAGGGGAUCUUCGGACCUUGCGCGAUUGAAUGAGCCGAUGUCGGAUUAGCUAGUUGGCGGGGUAAAGGCCCACCAAGGCGACGAUCCGUAGCUGGUCUGAGAGGAUGAUCAGCCACACUGGAACUGAGACACGGUCCAGACUCCUACGGGAGGCAGCAGUGGGGAAUAUUGGACAAUGGGCGCAAGCCUGAUCCAGCCAUACCGCGUGGGUGAAGAAGGCCUUCGGGUUGUAAAGCCCUUUUGUUGGGAAAGAAAAGCAGCAGGUUAAUACCCCGCUGUUCUGACGGUACCCAAAGAAUAAGCACCGGCUAACUUCGU
This 491-nucleotide ribosomal RNA is filed under the name uncultured bacterium. RNAcentral describes it as "partial 16S ribosomal RNA". It matches the Rfam family "Bacterial small subunit ribosomal RNA", at positions 29 to 506 of the family's 1533-position model. The record is from RNAcentral.